RNAcentral lists this transfer RNA (68 nucleotides) under Parasa lepida. Its description in RNAcentral is "tRNA-His". The record is from RNAcentral. Lineage: Eukaryota; Metazoa; Arthropoda; Insecta; Lepidoptera; Limacodidae.
AUUUAAAUAAUUUAAGAAAAAUAUUGAUUUGUGGAGUCAAAAUUAUGAUGAAAUAUUCAUUUUAAAUA